Molecule: ribosomal RNA, 301 nt
Filed under: uncultured bacterium
Lineage: Bacteria
Description: partial 16S ribosomal RNA
Rfam family: Bacterial small subunit ribosomal RNA
Source: RNAcentral
CAGCAGCCGCGGGAAUACGAAGGGGGCUAGCGUUGUUCGGAUUUACUGGGCGUAAAGGGCGCGUAGGCGGGCGAUUAAGUCAGAGGUGAAAUCCCAAGGCUCAACCUUGGAACUGCCUUUGAUACUGGUUGUCUUGAGUCCGGGAGAGGUGAGUGGAACUGCGAGUGUAGAGGUGAAAUUCGUAGAUAUUCGCAAGAACACCAGUGGCGAAGGCGGCCAUCUGGGACAACACUGACGCUGAGGCACGAAAGCGUGGGGAGCAAACAGGAUUAGAUACCCCUGUAGUCCCUGUCUCUUAUAC